AUGUGUGUGCCGAGCGACAAUCUUUAUUGUGCUGGGAGUAUGACCUUUUGGAUGUUAAAAAUCAUGCAUUUCCCUCCAUUUUUUGCUUUAAAAAUUAGUGCCGGCUCCUUAAUUUGUAUGGUCCUUUUAACCUCCUAUUUUAACCCUUAUCGUGAAGUUAUUGCUGCCAAUAAGCCAUCUGGAGUUUUGAACGUGUUACAGGGUCGCAGUUGCAAACUAUUCAGCGAGUAUGCUGAGUUGAUUCGGGCGAUUCCUGAGUAUGAGGUCAAGCUAAUAGAGGUAGUGAAGUAUAACAAGACAUUGCCAGUAUUGAAUUUUCACUUUAUCGUCCAUGCUCAGGGAGUAAUGAGCUACAAGGUGUGGGUGGAUGGAUAUCAAAAGUACGGUAUGGAACAUAUUUACAAGCGCAGUGCAUUGGCGUUGCACACCACUUUUUGUGACACAGUCAGUGGCAGUUUCUUUUUCACGAAUGCUCUGCGUAAUUUCACCAACUUACCUAGUAAAUGUCCGCUUAAAGUCGUAAGUAUACGUUUAUGUAAGCUGCACAUAAAAAAGUAUAAAGCUAUGAGUAUCGAGAGAAUUAUUUUGGCUUAAGAAUGAAGUGUCAUGGGCAUAGCUAGGUUAUUUUGUUGGGGAGGGCCAUAGGACCUGGUUUACCUACUACCAGGAACCGGAGGGUCUGAAGGGUAUUAAAAACCCCCUAGUCCAAGGGGGGUUCGAGGGACUUCUCCAUUAAAUUAUUGAAAUUUUGACUUUGUUUAAACGCAUUUGAUGCUUCCGUGUUUCCGUUAAUUUCUGCACAUAAAUUACGCAGUUUAAGUAUUUUCAUUUCAAAAUACUUUCGAAUUGUUACACAGAAUCACACCGCGUUAACUGUUAUCGCUGCCAAAUAUUUUUUUCCACCGGACGGAAUUUCUUUGAAAGAGGGGCCGGAUGAUACUAAUUUCAAUUUAAGAGGGGGCCAGGCCCUCCCUGGACCCUCCCCCCCCCCCCAGCUACGCCCAUAUCAAGGGUUUGUCCAUUUUCACGAAACUCGGGUGAAAAAUUGGGAUAAAAUGUCUGCACUGUGCAAAAAUGUACGGAUAACCAUUCAACAAUUGUCUUUCCCAGUCCCAAAUCCUACUCAGACUAAAAUUGACUUGGAAGAACGCCGAAGGAUUUGAAGUUCACUCUGCAAAUGAACAUGUGAAUGCGAUAAAAGUUAUUAUUUUUGUUCAGCGUUCAAAUUAUUUCAGUUCCAGUUAAUGAUUGUAAAAUAAACACAUUGAUACACAAAAAUUUAAAAGUCACGAGUUCUUUGAGCCAAAAUAGAUUAAAUACUAUCAAUCUUUCCCGCUUCUUUUCAAAUUCAAAGUAGUGCUAUAUGGUUUUGCAGCGAUACCUUUGACCAAUGAAAGGCGCGGUUUCAUUUUAGCUCUUAGCGCUCAAUCUUUAUAUUUUUGGACUAGAGAGAAACAGGAAACGAUUAAAAAUCGUGCUAUCUAAUAAAGGACAUCCUCGGCUAGGAUUUUUUGUUGCGAUGACCCAGAAAAACCACGACGCGAUGUGUGCAUCAUGCCUAUUUUAUAUCUCUCCUAUAUAUGCUCCGUAAUCUCGCCGUUUUUACACGUGUUUUUCAGGGGCACCUUUACUAUGUGCGAGGGUUUUAUUUCAAUGAGAAGUCCACACCUCCGACAUUUCCGGGCUACAAAUGGCGGUUCGACGUUCAAAUCGGGCCUGAGGGCUCACGAGACACCAACAGAUCAUCUCUCUUCAGAUUUUAUCUCCGUGUCGAGUGGCAUGAUCGCGGUGCAACGUCCUAGCCGAAAGCAAAAAUGACCCGCGGGAGCAUGAUUCCAUGAAAACCCUUUGAAACUGAACGGUGGGUUUACGUGCGAUCUGAUAUAAGACUUAAUCUGGUAGGAUUUUUUGUUGCGAUGACUCAGAAAUACCACGACGUGCGUAUUACGCCUAUUUAGAUGCGUGUCUGAAGUCUCGCAUUUACAUGGAACCUUUAUGACGGAGAGAAAGCUCAAAUUUACUUUUUGAUGCUUAAAAAUUGGAGUUUAGAAGCGAAUUUUUCGUAGAAUACGUUUCAAAGACUAGUUUUAGUCGAAAUCAUUAAUAUCUUGAUUUUUUGCAAAAACUCCACUAAUGCGCCUCGAUGUCCGCCAAGCCCCUCAAUUGAUGAAAAUUACACACCUUCUUCUCUAAUACUUCAAGAAAAGAAAAAUUAAUUUGAGUUUGUGUGCCCUCAUUCAUAAUGUCUCGUUUUAGCGGCUCUGGUACUAGCACCUAGAGCUGCUAUUCCGGCCGGUCUCCACAGAGUAUGCUGCCAACGGUCCAUUUUCCAUUGGUUAGAGCGCGCUUUGGUACAUGGGAAUCGGCGCCAUUUUCUGCUGUUUAGGGGGGACUGAUUUUAUUUUAAUUGAUUGUUUUUUCUUGUGAGCGAAUGAUAUGUUGUGUAGUAUAUUUUUGGAAUCACGGUGAUACUGUCGAUAAUUCAAAACUGGUCUGUGCUUUAAUCUCGUAUUGAAAAAAAUUUACUUAACGUUUAAAAUCUGAAUUUUCAAAACGACAAGUUUUCGCGCCAAUAAAUCGUAUCAGCUGGGACGGGCUCGGCCAUGGUUGUAUGCGUUUCCAUGGAAGUUGUGUAGAGUUUAUAUGUGCCUUGGAUAUGAGUUAUUGGCGGGAAAAAAAUAUCGAUUCAAAACAUGCUAAUUAAAACGAAACAAUGAAAACAGUUAAUUAAUACAUAUUUCUGAAGACGAAAUUAAGAAUCUUUCUAUCUUACAUGAAACUAGCAUUCCCGGAGCCGCUCUCCAACGGCAGUGCGCUGGAGUUACUGCUUGUUUCUACUUUCAUUUCAGCUGGAGCAGAAAGCGAGCAGAAGGAGAAGAGGACGAAGAAGAAAAGAAAGAAAGAAAGAAAAAACCAGUAAUAGUUCAAAACUUUUAGAGGCUCCUGAAACGUUUCUGGGCUUGGCUUCGAGCAAUGCACAUUUUUUUAAAACGAGCAUAAAAUCAAUGAGAGUGCACCACUCAAUAAGUACAUUUUCUUACGGGCUAGGCACCUUAGGACCAUCCCAGCUCUAAGGACUGCGUACAUUACAGCCUAUGUGGUACUCAACUUGGCAUGUUUAUUAACAAUUAAUUAAUUAUGAAUACGAGUAAUUUAAAAUGGGCUUUUAUUUGGAAAUCGAAGAUUAUUCUCACCAGUAAUGUCAAUAAAUGGUGUAAAAAUAAGACAUGUCAUUUAAAAUGGUCAUUUGGUUUACAAACAAAUUUCUAAAAAAAAAAUUUAGAUUUGCUCAUAUUUCAUGCGUUCUCGUGUAUUAUCCGCACAAUUUCUUUCUGAGUUACUUUUAUAAACUUGACCGCAAAGAAGACGUAUGAAUACGCUCACUAGUUAUCUCACCUCCACGACUACAGUGAGAUAUGGGGGGGGGGGGGUGUCUGAAUUUGAACUAAUCAAAUCUUUGCUGUUUUCCCCGUGGCAGAAGAAUUUCCUGAUCACAUUUUAUCCCUACAAGACUUUCUAUUCUUGUUAGCAUUUUCAGACGAUUUCUGCCCUAACCGGUGAUGCAGAAGCCUGCAUUUUAGAAGAACAGGUCUCUUUUCACAGAGCCAGUUUUGGUUGGGCUUUCGACAACCUUCAAUUCAAAGGAGGCCAGAAAAAAUCAGACAGAUCAGUGAAGUGUUUGUCUAAUAUUCUGCCGUGCUUACGAAAAACGCCGUAUAUGAGCCUCCAGACGUUGGCAUGCUCUCUGUGACAAAUCAUGUUUAUCCAGGCAAUUUCAAAGUAUUUUUCGCCCAAUUUUACGGAGAACUUCGUUUGUAAUUUUAUCUAAAUUGUCUGAAAAUUUCCAUGAAACAUAUUCAUAACUUUCCCGAAAAACAAGUAUAUUCUGAGAAUAAAUUUGGUACUAUUCGAAUAUUCAUACGGCGUUUUCCCUUAACGCGGCAGUAUUGGUCUAGCUCUUAAAACCUCGUAAUUUAUGGCACACGCAUCAUCCAUUUGAAAUAAUUACUCCUAAUGCAGAAUCAUUUUAACAAAUCAGAACAUAGAUUCUUUAGAUGUUUUGACUAGGUAUUCGGAUCAAACGCCGCAUUGGCACGGGUUGGUUUGGAGCUGCUGA
This 4117-nucleotide long non-coding RNA is filed under the name Bemisia tabaci. RNAcentral's name for it is "lncRNA ENSSSA1UGG012583". The record is from RNAcentral. Lineage: Eukaryota; Metazoa; Arthropoda; Insecta; Hemiptera; Aleyrodidae.